This 253-nucleotide ribosomal RNA is filed under the name uncultured prokaryote. RNAcentral's name for it is "partial 16S ribosomal RNA". It matches the Rfam family "Bacterial small subunit ribosomal RNA", at positions 525 to 777 of the family's 1533-position model. The record is from RNAcentral.
ACAGAGGGGGCAAGCGUUGCUCGGAAUCACUGGGCGUAAAGGGCGCGUAGGCGGGAUGGCAAGUCAGUCGUGAAAUCUCUCGGCUCAACCGAGAAACGUCGGCUGAUACUGCCGUUCUUGAGGGAUGCAGAGGAGACUGGAAUUCCUGGUGUAGCGGUGAAAUGCGCAGAUAUCAGGAAGAACACCCGUGGCGAAAGCGGCUCUCUGGAACGGUACUGACGCUGAGACGCGAAAGCGUGGGGAGCGAACAGGA